This 402-nucleotide ribosomal RNA is filed under the name uncultured Methanosaeta sp. RNAcentral's name for it is "bacterial SSU rRNA". It matches the Rfam family "Archaeal small subunit ribosomal RNA", at positions 937 to 1338 of the family's 1478-position model. Lineage: Archaea; Methanobacteriati; Methanobacteriota; Methanomicrobia; Methanotrichales; Methanotrichaceae. The record is from RNAcentral.
CGACAGCAAUAUGAAGGUCAGGCUGAAGACCUUACCCGAUUAGCUGAGAGGUGGUGCAUGGCCGUCGUCAGUUCGUACUGUGAAGCAUCCUGUUAAGUCAGGCAACGAGCGAGACCCACGUCCACAGUUGCCAGCAUACCCUCCGGGGUGAUGGGUACACUGUGGAGACCGCCGCUGCUAAAGCGGAGGAAGGAGUGGGCAACGGUAGGUCAGUAUGCCCCGAAUCUCCCGGGCUACACGCGGGCUACAAUGGUUGGUACAAUGGGCAUCUACCCCGAAAGGGGAAGGAAAUCUCUUAAAGCCAAUCGUAGUUCGGAUUGAGGGCUGCAACUCGCCCUCAUGAAGCUGGAAUCCGUAGUAAUCGCGUUUCAACAGGACGCGGUGAAUACGUCCCUGCUCCUU